CCAAUAGCGUAUAUUAACGUUGUUGCAGUUAAAAAGCUCGUAGUUGAAUUUCGGGAUCAAUAUUUCGGUCAUGCCGUUGGUAUGCACUGUUAUCAUUGAUUUCUCACCUUCUAAAGAACCGUGAUGCCAUUAAUUUGGUGUUACGGGGAAUUAGGACUGUUACCUUGAAAAAAUUAGAGUGUUUAAAGCAGGCUCACGCUUGAAUACAUUAGCAUGGAAUAAUGAAAUAGGACAUCCGAUUCUAUUUUGUUGGUUUCUAGGAUCGAUGUAAUGAUUAAUAGGGAUAGUUGGGGGCAUUAGUAUUCAAUUGUCAGAGGUGAAAUUCUUGGAUUUAUUGAAGACUAACUACUGCGAAAGCAUUUGCCAAGGAUGUUUUCAUUAAUCAAGAACGAAAGUUAGGGGAUCGAAGACGAUCAGAUACCGUCGUAGUCUUAACCAUAAACUAUGCCGACUAGGGAUCGGAUGAUGUUAAUUUUUUAAUGACUCAUUCGGCGCCUUACG
RNAcentral lists this ribosomal RNA (501 nucleotides) under uncultured Glomus. Its description in RNAcentral is "SSU rRNA". It matches the Rfam family "Eukaryotic small subunit ribosomal RNA", at positions 591 to 1092 of the family's 1831-position model. The record is from RNAcentral. Lineage: Eukaryota; Fungi; Glomeromycota; Glomeromycetes; Glomerales; Glomeraceae.